GACCGGGAAGAGAGACGUCCCCCGUCACGUCAUCUCCCGUCUAUCCCAGAUCGAGGGUGGGCUUAAUUGAAACCCCACCGGUCGUUCGGAACUGGUGGAUCUUCAGCAGUGGUCAAUAUAGGAGCGAUGGCGCUGAUUCAGCAUGAUUAAUCGGCUCCACUCUACCUCGUGGAGCUAGACCCCAGACUCGCCACGUGUCUGGCUUUAACCGACCACCACAGCGAUCGUCAGUGUUACAGGCGCCAGUGUGAUACCCUGGGAUAUGCCUUGAAGUUAUAUGUCCACAAUGUUGUUGUAUGGGUUUGGGGUAAUUCUGGAAUAAGUAUCCCAUGUUGGGUAGUGGAGCCCUGUUGUAAUUUGCUGGUAGCAGUAUUAUCGUGUAUGUUUUCAUAUAGGUAAUGAAAUGUAUCACCGUAAUACAGGUGCAAUCUGACGUGUUGAGUGAUAUUGUAAGAAGGGUAACCAAAAUCAUCGUUGUUCUCCCGAGGAAGGCCAAUUCACUUGUAUUUUUUUGCAGUAUGUUUUAUAAGCAAUAAAUUAGUUAAGACAU
Homarus americanus (American lobster) is the source of this 550-nucleotide long non-coding RNA. RefSeq lists it as uncharacterized. The record is from RefSeq and is a predicted model, not a curated record. The transcript is spliced from 2 exons. Lineage: Eukaryota; Metazoa; Arthropoda; Malacostraca; Decapoda; Nephropidae.